Molecule: ribosomal RNA, 137 nt
Filed under: uncultured bacterium
Lineage: Bacteria
Description: partial 16S ribosomal RNA
Rfam family: Bacterial small subunit ribosomal RNA
Source: RNAcentral
UCGGGAAUAUUGCGCAAUGGAGGAAACUCUGACGCAGUGACGCCGCGUAUAGGAAGAAGGUUUUCGGAUUGUAAACUAUUGUCGUUAGGGAAGAAAUUGACAGUACCUAAGGAGGAAGCUCCGGCUAACUAUGUGCC